UACGGAGGGUGCGAGCGUUGUUCGGAAUCACUGGGCGUAAAGCGCGUGUAGGCGGCCCAUUAAGUCUGAUGUGAAAGCCCGGGGCUCACCCCCGGAAGUGCAUUGGAAACUGAUGGACUCGAGUCCCGGAGAGGAGAGUGGAAUUCCUGGUGUAGCGGUGAAAUGCGUAGAUAUCAGGAGGAACACCGGUGGCGAAGGCGGCUCUCUGGACGGUGACUGACGCUGAGACGCGAAAGCGUGGGGAUCAAACAGG
RNAcentral lists this ribosomal RNA (253 nucleotides) under uncultured bacterium. RNAcentral describes it as "partial 16S ribosomal RNA". It matches the Rfam family "Bacterial small subunit ribosomal RNA", at positions 524 to 776 of the family's 1533-position model. The record is from RNAcentral.